GCUGUCGUGGUUUAGUGGUAAAAUCAGCGCUUCCCAAGAUAAUUGAUUGGCUAUUCAGUUUACUGGAUAGAUAAGUAUGCGCUGGCCGCGGGUUCGAUUCCCGCCGAUAGCA
Amylocarpus encephaloides is the source of this 112-nucleotide non-coding RNA. The record is from the annotation of a GenBank genome assembly. NCBI's taxonomy places the organism in Eukaryota, Fungi, Ascomycota, Leotiomycetes, Helotiales.